This 941-nucleotide ribosomal RNA is filed under the name Hypoderma minteri. RNAcentral's name for it is "eukaryotic LSU rRNA". It matches the Rfam family "Eukaryotic large subunit ribosomal RNA", at positions 22 to 979 of the family's 3401-position model. Lineage: Eukaryota; Fungi; Ascomycota; Leotiomycetes; Rhytismatales; Rhytismataceae. The record is from RNAcentral.
UACCCGCUGAAACUUAAGCAUAUCAAUAAGCGGAGGAAAAGAAACCAACAGGGAUUGCCUCAGUAACGGCGAGUGAAGCGGCAACAGCUCAAAUUUGAAAGCUGGCUCCUUUGGGGCCCGCGUUGUAAUUUGUAGAGGAUGUUUCGGGUGUGGCGCCGGUCUAAGUUCUUUGGAACAAGACGUCAUGGAGGGUGAGAAUCCCGUAUGUGACUGGUUGCCUAUGUCCAUGUGAAGCUCCUUCGACGAGUCGAGUAGUUUGGGAAUGCUGCUCAAAAUGGGAGGUGUAUUUCUUCUAAAGCUAAAUAUUGGCCAGAGACCGAUAGCGCACAAGUAGAGUGAUCGAAAGAUGAAAAGCACUUUGGAAAGAGAGUUAAACAGUACGUGAAAUUGUUGAAAGGGAAGCGCUUGCAAUCAGACUUGCGCGGCGCCGAUCAGCCUGGGUUCUCCCUGGUGUACUCGGCGCCGCUCAGGCCAGCAUCGGUUUCGGCGGUGGGAUAAAGGCCCAGGGAACGUGAGCCGCCUCGGCGACUGUUAUAGCCCUGGGUGCAAUGCCGCCUGCUGGGACCGAGGACCGCGCUUCGGCUAGGAUGCUGGCGUAAUGGUUGCAAGCGACCCGUCUUGAAACACGGACCAAGGAGUCUAACAUCUAUGCGAGUGUUUGGGUGUCAAACCCAUACGCGGAAUGAAAGUGAACGGAGGUGAGAACCCUCAAGGGUGCAUCAUCGACCGAUCCUGAUGUCUUCGGAUGGAUUUGAGUAAGAGCAUAGCUGUUGGGACCCGAAAGAUGGUGAACUAUGCCUGAAUAGGGUGAAGCCAGGGGAAACCCUGGUGGAGGCUCGCAGCGGUUCUGACGUGCAAAUCGAUCGUCAAAUUUGGGUAUAGGGGCGAAAGACUAAUCGAACCAUCUAGUAGCUGGUUCACGCCGAAGUUUCCCUCGGGAA